CCCUUAGAUGUUCUGGGCCGCACGCGUGCUACACUGAGUGGAUCAGCGGGUCAGGUUGCGCGAAAGUGUUUCCUAAUCUUGAAAUCCGCUCGUGAUGGGGAUUGACGGUUGCAAUUUUCCGUCAUGAACGAGGAAUACCUUGUAAGCGCGGGUCAUCAUCCCGCGCUGAAUACGUCCCUGCCCUUUGUACACACCGCCCGUCGCUCCUACCGAUUGAGUGGUCCGGUGAGGCUUUGGGAUCUGAGCGGAAAGAUCGUUUCGCUGUUUCUGCUCGGAAAACUCAGUCGAACCUUAUCAUUUAGAGGAAGGAGAAGUCGUAACA
RNAcentral lists this ribosomal RNA (322 nucleotides) under uncultured eukaryote. RNAcentral's name for it is "partial 18S ribosomal RNA". It matches the Rfam family "Eukaryotic small subunit ribosomal RNA", at positions 1470 to 1796 of the family's 1831-position model. The record is from RNAcentral.